GGGGUUCCAGGACAGAGCCCCCGUUGCCGUGUUCUAAGGUCAGUGCUGUUAAGGGGACUUAUUGCUCGUAAAGCAGUGGGUUAAGGAUCCGGCGUUGCUGGGAGCAGUGGCGUAGGUCGCAGAUGUGGUUCAGAUCUCUAGUUGCUGUGGCUGUGGUUAAAAAGUCAUAAAUAAAUAAAUAAAUAAAUAAAUAAAUAAAUAAAUCUGAUAAGUGUUUUAACAUUUGAGAAACUGAUUUCUGUUGAUCCUCCUGAAAGAUAAAGUGGCGGGCCUAGAAGAAUCAGGUCUGAGAGAAGAGCGCAGUGGUGGAAGGGCCACCUCUGCCGUGUGUUGAACUGAACUAUAAAGCUUCACAUCCGACACAACACUUGACAGCCGUCUGUACACACAACAGGUGCACCAGGUUUAAGGCCCUGUUGUCUUUGAGCAUUUAAUAGAUGAUGAAGGAGGUACCCGAAGCAGAGGGGAGAGGAAACCUGAUUUAAUAAGUGCGACGGAGACCACGUGAUAGCAGUUUGAAAAAUCUCAGCAGAUACUAUCACCUGACAUCCUCGCGAGCCCAGCAUAAAUUCUGCCUGAUUGGAAUGUCAACGUCACCAAAAGUCUGUCGAGUACAUUCAGUGCGAACAAAACAGGCGGAAGCCCCUACCCUGAAGCCUCCUGCAUUUCAGUUGGUAAAGGUAAAUUUGUCAAUGGGCAGGAAAAAAAAGAAAAAUCCAUUUUUAGAAAAAGCUUGAAGCUAAAAGUGGAUAUUCAGUCUCUGGAGGGGUUGAAAUUUCUAAGCUUGGAAUCUGUCAAAGCAAUCACCGAGGAAAAUAUCAGUCGUUUUGUCAGUGUAACAUUGCAUCGAUGCUGUUUCUGGGUGUCCUAGCAGUUAUUUCUAAGUUUUUCUAUCUAACAUCAAGCAGUGUCUGAAUUUGAGGAUCAGUUCGCCAAAGUAGCAUGAGUAGGCCAAAGGCUAUGGAUAUUUAUCAGGUUCCAGAUAUAUACCCUCAGGUUAAUUUCCCUUCGUAAGUAUUUUUAUAUUAAACAGACCACCUAGAUAAAGAUUUAAAAUCACCUGCCCAUUCAGUCGGGAAGGGAAAGAGUUCCUCCAGGUCUGGGGGCGGGUGAGGAACACCGUGCCCGAGGGCCACGCGCCGUCUGUCUGUGCCAGGGACUCCCGAAGUUGUAUCUUUACCCAGAUUUCUUUUUUGAGCUCCGAAGUCAUAAAGCCAGCAUCCUAUGCACCAUCUCCAUUGGGGUGUCUCGCGAGCAUCUCAGACUCUCCGUGUACAAAGAAAAGAAAGUCUUGGUUCCCGCUGUGGCACAGUGGGAUCGGUGGCGUCUCUGCAGCACCAGGACACAGGUUCGAUCGCCAGCCCUUCGCAGUGGGUGAAAGGAUCUGGCGUUGACACAGCUGUGGUGUAAGUCGCAACUUUGGCUCGGAUCCCUGACCAGGGAACUCCAUAUGCUGAGAGGUGGCCAAAAAAGGAAAAAAAAAACUUGGUCAACUGUCUGAAAUAUGUGCUCCUUCUGGAAAUCUUUAUUUCCAUAAACCGCAUCUUCUUCCGCCCCGUAGUUCCCCUCAGAAACCUGACAGUCAUCCUGACUCCUUUUUCCUUCACAUGUAAUCUGUUGCCGAAUUUUAUUGAUUGCGCCUCUCAAAUAUAGCCAUCCUUGCUUUUCACUGUAGCCGUGGCCUGUGAAGUCACUGCAGAUGCUGGAUGAACCACUGCGCCUUGGAUUAGCUUCCUGUGAGUCGCUGGUCAUAUUCUCAACUGAUCAGUAUGUAACCUUGUUUUAUGUGUGUUUGUGUUUAAAGACACCUAUUUAAUAUAUAUUGUUGAUUGAUUAGCAUUGAAUUUGCAGCCCACAGCACUAUAACUCAUGCCCGAAUGAAGCUUGCCUAACACAUGUAUUUUCCUGAAAGAUACAUCACCACCUGCUUGCAUUUUGGAACUCUAGACAGCCCGUCAUCACUGUGCUUGCGGAUCAUUUAAAAAUUCCCAACAGGAGUUCCCGUUGUAGCUCAGCUGGUUAAGAACCUGACUAGUAUCCAUGAGGAUUCGGGUUCAAUCCCUGGCUCUCAGCGGGUGGAGGAUAUGGCUUUGCCAUGAGCUGCAGUGGAGGUUGCAGAUGCAGCUCGGAUCGGGCAUGGCUGUGGCUGUGGCAUAGGUCGGCGGCUAUAGCUCCAAUUCGGCCCCAACCUGGCAACUUCCAUGUGCUGUGAGUACAGCCCUAAAAAGCAAAAAAAAAAAAAAAAA
This 2246-nucleotide long non-coding RNA is filed under the name Sus scrofa (pig). Its description in RNAcentral is "lncRNA (ENSSSCG00055019310.1)". Lineage: Eukaryota; Metazoa; Chordata; Mammalia; Artiodactyla; Suidae. The record is from RNAcentral.